AUCUGGUAGAGGCCCACUAGGUCUCCUGGGAAAAGGUGGUUUGUCUCUCUAUUUUGGGGGAUCAGCCCCAAGUGGCCAAACCGAAUUCCACCCAUAGCCACGCCUCGCUGGUAUCUGUCCACACGUGCUGCUGGUCAGCAGCUGUGGGCAUGUGUUUCUGCUCCUCCAGUGGGUUGUCCCAGUGAAUGUAGUUACACUCAGCCAGCCAUCUCCUGUCCACUGUUUGCCUGUCCACUGUCU
RNAcentral lists this long non-coding RNA (240 nucleotides) under Homo sapiens (human). RNAcentral describes it as "HSALNT0266749". The record is from RNAcentral. Lineage: Eukaryota; Metazoa; Chordata; Mammalia; Primates; Hominidae.